UAUUACGUUUUUGAAAUUGGU
Molecule: non-coding RNA, 21 nt
Filed under: Caenorhabditis elegans
Lineage: Eukaryota; Metazoa; Nematoda; Chromadorea; Rhabditida; Rhabditidae
Source: RNAcentral